UGAACUUCUUUGAGCUGGUACUUGCUCUGUGAAUGGGAAUAAUCCUAUUUUACCAUCAAAUAUGAUUUCCCCAUCACUGCCAAUAAGUGGCCUACACACAGCAGCCAUGAACAUCACUUUAGUGAUGAAUCUCUUGGACUUACAGGACCUAUAAGGCUCAUCCUCAUCCGGCAAAAGGUUCCCCUCUGUCCAUUUGUUGCUUGCUGAUAUCCCAAAUUCUCAUUGUUGUCCUUGUAUGGAUGUUGAAUCUUUUGGCUGCCUCUGUAAAUGAACCUCUUGGCAGCACUCCAGCUUGACUUUGCUGUAGAAGAAACUGUGCAAUGAGAUUUUUUUCUUGGGUGUUCAAUGCUAAUGACAUCCGCUGCCUUCCACCUUGCCCCUGCACCUGCUGCUCCUGCUCAUGGUCCAACUCUUGGACCACCUCCUGCUCCAUAUGCCCAGUGAUGAAGAUUUUCUGAGGGUAUUUCACUUAAAUAGGUUUCCUUUUUUUUUUUUUUUGGUUGGUGGAAGUGAAUGGAGUAGAAAUGAAUGUACUUAUAGGAGUAGUUGGAGUUUGAAAUUCAUUGUAAAUUUUCCCUCCUUGUAUGAACAAAUUCCCUCCAUGGAAUUGGAGGCUUUCCCUCCUUAUAUUUUGAAAUUUGAAUGGCAGCUUUGUUCUCUCAA
This is a non-coding RNA of Salvia hispanica, 663 nucleotides long. The record is from RefSeq and is a predicted model, not a curated record. NCBI's taxonomy places the organism in Eukaryota, Viridiplantae, Streptophyta, Magnoliopsida, Lamiales, Lamiaceae.